UCCAUGGAUACCGUGGAUUUGACUCGAGUAGGACAAAGAACCAACAGGUAAGAGGAAGAGCACGACCAAGACUCGUACGAGGAGGCCGUGACCGACUGCUAAUUGUGUCGUCAUAAUUUUCUUCCUCGUUCGUUAUAAGACAAAGUAUGUGAAGUUGGAAAUCUACGCUGGAUGUGAUUCACUUUCACGGAUAUAUAAUGCAAAUUUAUAAAACUGACAGGUGAAAGCGAAAGGGUACAUAGUUAACACGUUUUCCAAGUUAAAUCAACUAUUAGC
RNAcentral lists this long non-coding RNA (276 nucleotides) under Olea europaea (common olive). Its description in RNAcentral is "long non-coding RNA (OEUR_LNC000823)". The record is from RNAcentral. Lineage: Eukaryota; Viridiplantae; Streptophyta; Magnoliopsida; Lamiales; Oleaceae.